RNAcentral lists this ribosomal RNA (551 nucleotides) under uncultured Pseudomonas sp. RNAcentral's name for it is "bacterial SSU rRNA". It matches the Rfam family "Bacterial small subunit ribosomal RNA", at positions 126 to 672 of the family's 1533-position model. The record is from RNAcentral. Lineage: Bacteria; Pseudomonadati; Pseudomonadota; Gammaproteobacteria; Pseudomonadales; Pseudomonadaceae.
CUGCCUGGUAGUGGGGGAUAACGUCCGGAAACGGGCGCUAAUACCGCAUACGUCCUGAGGGAGAAAGUGGGGGAUCUUCGGGCCUCACGCUAUCAGAUGAGCCUAGGUCGGAUUAGCUAGUUGGUGGGGUAAAGGCCUACCAAGGCGACGAUCCGUAACUGGUCUGAGAGGAUGAUCAGUCACACUGGAACUGAGACACGGUCCAGACUCCUACGGGAGGCAGCAGUGGGGAAUAUUGGACAAUGGGCGAAAGCCUGAUCCAGCCAUGCCGCGUGUGUGAAGAAGGUCUUCGGAUUGUAAAGCACUUUAAGUUGGGAGGAAGGGCAGUAAGUUAAUACCUUGCUGUUUUGACGUUACCAACAGAAUAAGCACCGGCUAACUGCGUGCCAGCAGCCGCGGUAAUACAAAGGGUGCAAGCGUUAAUCGGAAUUACGGGGCGUAAAGCGCGCGUAGGUGGUUCAUCAAGUUGGAUGUGAAAUCCCCGGGCUCAACCUGGGAACUGCAUCCAAAACUACUGAGCUAGAGUACGGGAGAGGGUGGUGGAAUUUCCU